RNAcentral lists this ribosomal RNA (253 nucleotides) under uncultured bacterium. RNAcentral describes it as "partial 16S ribosomal RNA". It matches the Rfam family "Bacterial small subunit ribosomal RNA", at positions 524 to 776 of the family's 1533-position model. The record is from RNAcentral.
CACGUAGGAGACGAGCGUUAUCCGGAUUUACUGGGCGUAAAGCGCGUGCAGGCGGUUCAGCAAGUUGGAUGUGAAAGCUCCCGGCUUAACUGGGAGAGGUCGUUCAAAACUACUGGACUAGAGAGUGGUAGAGGGAGGUGGAAUUCCGGGUGUAGUGGUGAAAUGCGUAGAUAUCCGGAGGAACACCAGUGGCGAAAGCGGCCUCCUGGACCAUUUCUGACGCUCAGACGCGAAAGCUAGGGUAGCAAACGGG